AUGCAGUGAUGACUUGAAUUUCUUCACCUGAUGAACCCUGAUGGUAUUGAGCUUUUUAACCCUGAGCAUU
Molecule: small nucleolar RNA, 70 nt
Organism: Solea solea (common sole)
Lineage: Eukaryota; Metazoa; Chordata; Actinopteri; Pleuronectiformes; Soleidae
Source: RefSeq, a predicted model, not a curated record